UUUGGGGAAAUUAAGGGGUUUCUGAGGAGCACAUGUAUUGUCAACGCUAAUAUAAAAAGCAAAUGGGAGUGGGAGGAGUGGGAGAGAUGAUAAAAGUAUUCAUUCUGAUUUUAACUCUGAAAUCCAAGUACAUUUUAGGAGUGACAAGUAUUAUCUACAUCAUUCUUUUUAACAUUUCUUAUAUAUAAGCAGGAGUAAUUUUAAUAUCUAUAAUUACUAGCUACAUCGCUUUUUAAUCUAAAUUUACUAACUUCAGGGCCUUUUGUUUACCAACUCUCUAAUCACUUGUAUCACAUUUAACAGAUAUCAACUAUUAAUGUCAACAACUAAUGUACUUCUAACUGUUCAUAUCUUAACUGAAUAUUACCAACAUCAUCCUUAUUUAAAUAUAUUUAUUCCUCUAGCCAAAUGAACUCAGGGUUAACACUAAUUUCCAAGAUGGGUAGAAGUUAAGUAAAGAAUCUGAGACUCUGGUGCCUAAACUCCUUUAGGACAGAUGGCUGGUCUUCAAAGAAUUUACAACCACAUGACUGUUCCAUUCAAAAAUUAUAUUGUGCCACAGCCAACUCUGAUUAUUUAUGUUAACUGAAGGCAGAAGCACAGAUGAUCAAAAACAUUCUGCAAAUCACUUCUAGUUGGCUUUGAAAUAUCUAUUAAUUUUUUUUAAGAGAUUUAUUUGAUUAUCUUUUUCUCAGGAUAAUACGAAAAAUGACUUACAUUCCCUGGGUAUGAGCCAAAUGACAGGAGCAUAACGGGUGGUUGGACCAAUUCAAUGUGGGUAUAAAAACGCACCACAAAUAAAAUGGAAAGCAGACCAAUUAUAAGAGAUAAAUGAGACUUGACUACAGAUAUUAAAAAUAAGAUAUUUUAAAACACGAUUCUGUAUUAGGCUCUGUAUGGAAUUAGA
This 907-nucleotide long non-coding RNA is filed under the name Bos taurus (domestic cattle). Its description in RNAcentral is "long non-coding RNA NONBTAT014277". Lineage: Eukaryota; Metazoa; Chordata; Mammalia; Artiodactyla; Bovidae. The record is from RNAcentral.